GGUGGAGAGUUCCAAAGGGAUCGCAUUGAUCUAAUUCUUGAAGUUUCUGGAUUUAGCUUCGGUUCACAGCUUCACUUAUUGGAUCAUGUGAUCCCUUAGGAACUUUCCAU
This is a microRNA precursor of Cajanus cajan (pigeon pea), 110 nucleotides long. It matches the Rfam family "mir-393 microRNA precursor family". Lineage: Eukaryota; Viridiplantae; Streptophyta; Magnoliopsida; Fabales; Fabaceae. The record is from Rfam.